AAGGUGAUUGAUGGGAAGGAAUCUAUUAAAGUAAUGCUAAGUACAUCAAUUCAAUAGAAGGCAAUAUUUUAGGAUCUCCUAUUGAUCUGGGUGUUUAUACAAAUAUGGGUCGUUCUUCGGGAGCUGUAGCGAUCUCUCUUUCUUCACACUCUGAAUAAUAAAUGUUGCUUUUAUUUAAUAAACAUAAUAUAUUCAUCAAUAUCAA
This is a long non-coding RNA of Eurytemora carolleeae, 205 nucleotides long. RefSeq lists it as uncharacterized. The transcript has 2 exons. NCBI's taxonomy places the organism in Eukaryota, Metazoa, Arthropoda, Copepoda, Calanoida, Temoridae. The record is from RefSeq and is a predicted model, not a curated record.